This 497-nucleotide ribosomal RNA is filed under the name uncultured bacterium. RNAcentral's name for it is "partial 16S ribosomal RNA". It matches the Rfam family "Bacterial small subunit ribosomal RNA", at positions 28 to 507 of the family's 1533-position model. The record is from RNAcentral.
GAUGAACGCUGGCGGCGUGCCUAAUACAUGCAAGUCGAGCGAACAGAUGAGGAGCUUGCUCCUCUGACGUUAGCGGCGGACGGGUGAGUAACACGAGGAUAACCUACCUAUAAGACUGGGAUAACUUCGGGAAACCGGAGCUAAUACCGGAUAAUAUAUUGAACCGCAUGGUUCAAUAGUGAAAGACGGUUUUGCUGUCACUUAUAGAUGGAUCCGCGCCGCAUUAGCUAGUUGGUAAGGUAACGGCUUACCAAGGCAACGAUGAGUAGCCGACCUGAGAGGGGGAUCGGCCACACUGGCACUGAGACACGGUCCAGACUCCUACGGGUGGCCGCAGUAGGGAAUCUUCCGCAAUGGGCGAAAGCCUGACGGAGCAACGCCGCGUGAGUGAUGAAGGUCUUCGGAUCGUAAAACUCUGUUAUUAGGGAAGAACAAAUGUGUAAGUAACUAUGCACGUCUUGACGGUACCUAAUCAGAAGGCCGCGGCUAACUACGUG